AAAGCAUUCCUAUCAUUAGAUUCUAAUCCAGAACCACAUGAUUCACCUUGUAUGGCUGUUUCUGUGGAUGUUUGUUAAAUAAGAAUAUUGAGAGCCAAGGAAUUCUAUCAAGCAAAGAUGUUCUACUCAGGUUUAUGAACAGUUUUCCCCCUGUAUGGCUGUACUGUUUAUUCCACUGAGCCUGGCUGCAUCCUUCUGCUUUGAUUUAUAGGGAAGGCAGAAGUCAACACCUAAAAGAUGUGACUUUUAAAACAGUUGCCUAUAAUUUCAACUCGACUUUCUAUUACCAAAACACAUACUGCUGUGAAUCCUUAUUAUCAAGCGGCAAUUGAACAUCACAAAAUGGCCAGCAGAUAAAUAGGAGCCUAACAGAAUAUACUAUCUAAAACAUAAAGUGAUGGUGAAAAGAAUUUGCAUGCUUCUCUAUGGUCAGCACUGUCGUAUACAAGUUGUAAAGAGCCCUCAAGAAUAUAUUAAAGGGAAUGUAAAUAAAUCACAGUGUUUCUAGUGUGACGUAAUUAAUCUGUGCAACAGAGCCUGGGAUAGUCUUUAUUUCUCCCUUUCUGUUGAAGUCCAGUUUCUCAGUUUAUGGCUUCUGCUCCAGUGUCCUAGAGAUAUAUUGGUG
Molecule: long non-coding RNA, 625 nt
Filed under: Pan troglodytes (chimpanzee)
Lineage: Eukaryota; Metazoa; Chordata; Mammalia; Primates; Hominidae
Description: long non-coding RNA NONPTRT014692
Source: RNAcentral